AAACAGUAAAACUUUAUUUUCUCCCAAAUCACAAAAAAAUUCCGUCAAAUUGAAGAACACGCUCUUUAGGCUUUUCUCUCCAAGUAUGAAGAACACAAUUUCCAUCAAACUUUCUCACAGAUUUCUUGUUGAAGAGCUGAAGAGCUGUUCCGUCAUAUUCUCGCUGAAGAGUUGUUCUCGCUGAAGGUUAGGCCUAACAGAUGAACACGCCUCAUUAAAAGAUUUCUUGUUGAAAAUUGAACAAAAUGCUUCACUUGAGAAGAGGGUGUCUUAAAGCUUCAUUACAUUGAAAAGAUUUUGUUGGAUUAGGGUUUAUCAGGUACAUUUGUCCAGAUCAGGUAAAUCCUUCUGAAUUACAGUACAUCACUAGUCUAGUACACUUUCAUACUGUAUAGCUUUCCACAGAAUUAGUGUACAGGUUAUAGAAUCAAUUUACAGUACAUACAGUAGGUUAUAGCUUGCACUAAACUCAGUUGUACAGGUUAUAAAAUCAAUUUACAGUACAUACAGUAGGUUAUAGCUUGAACUAAACUCAGCUGUACUGGUUAUAGAAUCAGUGUACAUGUUAUAGAAGUAGUUUACAGUACAGACAGUAGGUUAUAGCUUGAACUAAACUCAACUGCUGCAAUCUUCUAUUAUCAAUUACUCUUAUCACAACUUAUCAAGAGAAGUAAAGAA
Solanum stenotomum is the source of this 678-nucleotide long non-coding RNA. RefSeq lists it as uncharacterized. NCBI's taxonomy places the organism in Eukaryota, Viridiplantae, Streptophyta, Magnoliopsida, Solanales, Solanaceae. The transcript has 3 exons. The record is from RefSeq and is a predicted model, not a curated record.